RNAcentral lists this ribosomal RNA (719 nucleotides) under uncultured bacterium. RNAcentral describes it as "bacterial SSU rRNA". It matches the Rfam family "Bacterial small subunit ribosomal RNA", at positions 140 to 853 of the family's 1533-position model. The record is from RNAcentral.
GGGACAACCAGCCGAAAGGUUGGCUAAUACCGCAUGAGUUCUACGGAAGAAAGAGGGGGACCCGCAAGGGCCUCUCGCGAGCGGAGCGGCCGAUGACUGAUUAGCCGGUUGGUGAGGUAACGGCUCACCAAAGCAACGAUCAGUAGCUGGUCUGAGAGGACGACCAGCCACACUGGGACUGAGACACGGCCCAGACUCCUACGGGAGGCAGCAGUGGGGAAUUUUGGACAAUGGGCGCAAGCCUGAUCCAGCUAUUCCGCGUGUGGGAUGAAGGCCCUCGGGUUGUAAACCACUUUUGUAGAGAACGAAAAGACACCUUCGAAUAAAGGGUGUUGCUGACGGUACUCUAAGAAUAAGCACCGGCUAACUACGUGCCAGCAGCCGCGGUAAUACGUAGGGUGCGAGCGUUAAUCGGAAUUACUGGGCGUAAAGGGUGCGCAGGCGGUUGAGUAAGACAGAUGUGAAAUCCCCGAGCUUAACUCGGGAAUGGCAUAUGUGACUGCUCGGCUAGAGUGUGUCAGAGGGAGGUGGAAUUCCACGUGUAGCAGUGAAAUGCGUAGAUAUGUGGAAGAACACCGAUGGCGAAGGCAGCCUCCUGGGACAUAACUGACGCUCAGGCACGAAAGCGCGGGGAGCAAACAGGAUUAGAUACCCUGGUAGUCCACGCCCUAAACGAUGUAAAGUAGUUGUUGGGAAGUAAUAUUCUCAGUAACGCAGCC